Molecule: long non-coding RNA, 33789 nt
Filed under: Theobroma cacao (cacao)
Lineage: Eukaryota; Viridiplantae; Streptophyta; Magnoliopsida; Malvales; Malvaceae
Description: long non-coding RNA (TCAC_LNC002190)
Rfam family: Small nucleolar RNA snoR8a (bases 1418-1510)
Source: RNAcentral
GGCCCAUUGCGGUGCACCUACGAUGGCUGAAGUUGCGUUCUUUGCAUUCUUGCCAUUAUAAAUUAUGUCAUGAAAAUAGAGCACCAUGCUCUUACAAGGUUUCCUGGCGCGGAUUUUUCGUGUUGUUGCAGCAGUAGAUAUGGAGAGGAGGGAGAGAAGGAAGAGAAGUAGCAGAAAUCUCCUUGCUUCCAUUUUCAUUUCAGAGCAAGAAGGUUACAAAAAAAAAAAACUAUGGAAUCUGUGAUAGUAUGCUUUGAAUAAAACUUGAGCGGCUUUAUACAAGAGCUUUCAACUGCAAAACUUUUAGGUUAUUCUGUUGGUUAAUUAAAUAUGAAGUAAUGCUUGGCUUUGAAGGAAUAAUUGGAUAGCAGUAACUCCACCAAAAAGUGACUACCCUUAUCCAUUGAAUUCAAUCUGCACCCUAGGCGUUUAACUGAUCGUUUUGAUAGCGUCAGAUCAAAGAUUAGCACAAUUAUUGGAUGCUGCAGGGAGAUUUGGUAGAGCAACAUUAGUGUUCUUACUGUAUGAAUGAAAUUAUGGAAUCCUUUGACUUUAGUUAGUUGACUGUAAGCUAAAGGAUGUUAUGGUGAUAAAUGGGCAAUAUGAUCUGCGACAAUGGAAUCAGUUUCACAGUUAAUUACAAUGCAGUCUUAUUCACAGUUUUGUUUUAAAGAGAAAACGACAUUUUAAUGUUGUUAAUAUUUUGGGGAUUGAACAUGCAUUAACUUCACUUUACAACUCAUGUCACGCUAAAUAUUUAAGAAAAUAUAUAUAAAUAAGAUUCUUUAAUCUCAUAUAGGCAGAUAAGAUAAUUUUGAAAAGUUUAUAAGUAUUGAUCCUGUAAAUCUCUUCAAGUUAGUAUUUUGGACAUGUUGACAUAUCAGUGUCACAUGACAAUUUAAAAAAAUAAAUUUUUGCCACGUCAUAAGAAUUACAUUGAACAAAAAUAUAUAAUACAAGAAUUAAAUUAAACAAAAUUAAGAUAUUGAGGGACUAAAUUAAAAAAAUAUUUAAAAAAUAUAAAUUUUUAAAUAAAUUAUUGAUAUGUAUAUUAAUAAGCCAAAUAUUUAAGUGUAAAAGAUUUACAGUGUUAAAAAAUAUAUAUAUUUUCUUACUGAUUAUUUGAUUUUAAAAUAUGUAAAUUAAUUUAUCUUUUUUACAAAAACUAAGUUUGAAUUCUCCUUUUAUAAAAAAAAUUGAAAAAAUUUCAUACUUUAAGUCAAAUUUAGAUAAAUAAUUUAUAUUACGUUAAAAUAAAAUAAUAUAAAAUGACUAAAUAAAUUCUUUUUUUUUCUAUUUAUAAUAGUAUAAAAAUUUGAAAUUUAUUUAACUUAGUUUUUUACUUGAGCUAAAAUCAAAUUAGCAAAAUAUGUUGAUUUAAUUUUUUUCUUUUAAAAAGAUGAAAAUCAGAGAUAUGGAGUUAGUGAUGAUUAUAAAAAUAAUUUCUUAUUUUGAAUUGUUUAAUUUGGACAUGACAAACCUUUUAUUACAACUAUAGAAUCUGAGCUCCAUCCUUCUAAUUUUUUUAUUUUUUUAUGUUUUUAUUUUGUUUAAUAUUUCAAGUUAUAUUUUUUAAGUUGAAAUUUCAUAAAUUAAAGACUGCAAUUAUUAUUGAUAAAGUUAAAUAUAACUAUAAAUAUUUGUACCAUUUUAUUUUAUUGUAAAUUUUUUGUAGAUCUAAAUUAAUAAUUAAAUUUAAAUUUAGCAGAAUUUGAUUGUAAUGUUUGAAUUUAAAUAAAAUUGUUUUAUAAAAAAUUUUGAGUAAAUUUAAAUAAAGUAUAAAUUGGGUAAGAAUUGAAUAAUUUCAAAAGAAUGUGUAUUUAUAAAUUGUGAAAGUUGUAACUAAAUCAACAUAUUUUGCUAAUUUGAGUAAAUUUAAAUAAAAGGUAAGUUGAGUAAGUGUUGAAUAAUUUCAAAAUAAUGUGUAUUUGUAAAUUAUGAAAGUUAUAACUAAAUCAAAAUAGUUAGUUAUUUUAUAUUAUUUUAUUUUAACGUAUGCAAGGUAUUCAUUUAAAUUUGACUUUAAGUAUGAAUUUUUUUUNAGAUUUUUAUUUUUCAAAUAUUUUUUUCAAUUUAGUCCUCAACAUCUCAAUUUUUGUUCAAUUUAGACUCUGUAUUAUAUAUUUUUGUUCAAUUUAGUCCCUAUGAUGUGGCACAAAAAAAUUUUUGGAAAAUUUUUGACCUGCCACGUGCACUAACAUGUCAGCAUGUCAUUGCCACAUCAUCGUAUAGUGCCACGUUGCGUUGUCACGUCAUCACUCGAUAUCACAUCAUCAAAAUAUGUCACAUCAUCAAAAUAUGACACAUCAUCACUGAUAUCAUCGUUGACAUCAUUUUUUAACGGUAAAAUUGGAUGUCGCUGGGGAGAGGGAUUGAAUUGACGCAAUAUUCAAAAUCAAAAGAUUAAAUUACUUCGAUUUUAAGUAUAAAGACUAAAUUGAACAAAAUUAAAAAUACAGGAACUGAAUAGGUCUUUUAAUCAAAAAAAUUGAACCAACAAAUUAGCAUAUAUAACAUCAAAAUAUGUUUUUCUAUCAAUUGUCAUUAAGAAUUACUUAAUUUUUUAUUCGAAUUAUGUGCUAUUCUAUGAUGGGUGUCGAUUAAUAUUAACAAAAAGUUUAUUCCUGUAUUGUCACUAUCCUUUCAGUAAUGUUUCAACUACUUACCUUAUAUAUUUUAAUCAUACCUUAACUAUUGUUAAUGAUUUUCCUCUUUUUCCCCAUUUGGAAAUAAUAAAUCUGUCUUUUCGUUGGACUCACCAACCAAAGUAACAAAAACUCCAAAAGCAGGUAAAGGCAUCAAAUUAUAAAGGACCGUGUACUAAUGAUUCUCUUUUCUUUUUUUUUGACAAAUAAUCGAUGGUUAUCACUUAAUUGAAAAGAAUUAAUUUAUUGUUAUAUUAUCAUAAAUUAAAAAUAUGAGUUCAUAACAAGUAAUCUGAAAAUUAAAAUCGAGAUAAAUUUAAAAGUUUUUUCUUCAAUAAAUAAAAGAGUUAAUACAAUGAAGAUGUUAUAAAAUUAAAUGCGAUAAAAUGUCACGAAUUAAUACUGAUUUUGUAUGGAAAGACAUAAAAGGGUGUUAUUAAAGACAAUUGAACAAGCCAUGACAAAAACGUCAAAAAUAACGAAACCAACUUUACAACUACUGUUCUUAAUUUCUUUCUAUCCACACUACCUAGUAGACAAGGACUACGUACCAACAUGGGGGAGAGAGAAGUAAAGCAACUGUGCCUCUGCUAAAGCAAUUAAAAGACUUUUAUUGUUUUUUACCGAACAUACAGCUUUGCAUAACAAAACAGAGACGCAAUAUUCAGAGGGCCUAACCACAAUAGAGCCUCGUACAGUGUUGCCAUUGAUGAAACUCUUCACGACUCAACAAACAAAUAUUUGGAAAAUGAAAAAUACAACUUGAAUUUGACAAUCGAUUGUUGGCAUAGCUAUAGCAAGUACUUAAACUUGUUGCCAACAUUCAUACAAUUUAAUAUCGGUACGAAGGCGAAAGUAUACUUCCCCUUCAAAGGCAUCCGUCAUCAAAGUAGCCACUCCUCUAGCCAUGAAGAAGUCACCGGUUCCACCAAUUACUGAGAUAUCCCUGGUCUUGUUCAUCAAUGGAUCAGCCCCAGCAAAGUUUAUGCUUCCCUUAUGCUCGGUAGAAUUGAAAACAAAAGAGAACCCCAACCAAGCAGUGAAAAUCUCUUUCUUAUCAUAGAAAUAAAAGCCUUGCGCACGACCAACUGGGGUUGAAUGCAGAUUGUUAUCUAAGGUAAUGGGAUCAUCAAACACAGCCAAAUCUCCAAAAUGGUUCUGUCCUGCCAAAAGGGUUCUAUUGGCCCAUUGCGGUGCACCUACGAUGGCUGAAGUUGCGUUCUUUGCAUUCUUGCCAUUAUAAAUUAUGUCAUGAAAAUAGAGCACCAUGCUCUUACAAGGUUUCCUAGCGCGGAUUUUUCGUGUUGUUGCAGCAGUAGAUAUGGAGAGGAGGGAGAGAAGGAAGAGAAGUAGCAGAAAUCUCCUUGCUUCCAUUUUCAUUUCAGAGCAAGAAGGUUACAAAAAAAAAAAAAAAAAAAACUAUGGAAUCUGUGAUAAUAUGCUUUGCAUAAAAGUUGAGCUGCUUUAUACAAGAGCUUUCAACUGCAAAACUUUUGGGUUACUCUGUUGGUUAAUUAAAUAUGAAGAAACGAUUGGCUUGAAAGUAAUGAUUGGAUAGCAGUAACUUCCACCAAAAAGAGACAACCUUUAUCCAUUUAAUCAUUCUUCAGUCGGCACCCUAGGGGUUUAACUGAUCGUUUUGAUAGCUUCAGAUCAAAGAUUAACACAAUUAUUGGAUGCUGUAGGGAGAUUUGGUAGAGCAACAUUAGUGUUCUUUCUUUAUGAAUGAAAUUAUGGAAUCCUUGGACUUAGUUAGUUGACUGCAAGCUAAAGGAUGUUACGGCGAUAAAUGGGCAAUAUGAUCAGCGACAAUGGAACCAAGUUCACAGUUAUUAAUAUUUUGAGAAUCGAACAUAUAUUAAUUUCACUUUACAAUUCAUGUCACGCUAAAUGUUUAAGAAAACGUAAAUAAAAUUUUUUAAUUUCAUAUUGGAGAAACAAGAGAAUUUUAAAAAGUUUAUAAGUAUUGAUCCGGUAAAUCUUUGUAAGUUAGUUUUUUAAAAAGAUGAUAACAAUAUAUUCUAAAAAUAAUUUUAAAUAAAAAUAUGAUAAAAAGUAUUGUCAAAUUAAAAUUAUUUAAUAUUUAAUGUUUCUUUUUCUUGUGUUUUUUUCAUAAUUUGUAAAUUAAAUUUAAGUAGCAUUCUAUUGCGUUACAAUAGUACAUUAGUUAAUUUUUUUCACCAAGAAUUAGUUAGUCACCCCAUCUAAUUAAAUAAUUUUUUUCCAGCUGUCAUAAUGACCAUAUGUACUAGUGCAGCAUGUAUAUAGGUGGAGGUUGGUAGUCUACCAAAUGGUUCAUUUGGGUGAAAAAGGGGGCAUUUUGACUGAACAUGUACCAGGAAAUUAGCAUUAAUUUCCUGAGCUGAUCAGUGAUCAUACAUCCCCCUUGAAAGGCAUAGGACUAGGGAUUCGGUACCAUUUCCAAAGCCUAACGGAGCUUGACUUCUUUAAAAGGCCUGCAGAGUACAGACUCUAGGUACAUCGAUCCCUUGAGGAAAGACAGAAGGAUACGAGUAGUACCACUGAGCCACGCGGCUGGGAUUUCUGUUUGUGGUCUUUUUGGGUAUGGUCUUGUUAGCCUUUCAGUCUUACUGCCCUAGCACUUGAUCAAAUGUUGUUUGACCAUUGCUAUAGGAAGAGUUGAUCCCUUCAUUUUUUUCCUUGCUAAGAAUCUCUCUUUGGUGUUCAUUAUCUGAAAGAUAAUAAUUUGGUGUUCAUUAGUAUAGAAAGAAUUACAAGUCAUCCUGGUUCAAAGUAAAAUAAUAAAGAAUAAAUAAAUUAUAGAAGGUCAAUUUUGCUCUCCACUGAAUUUCUAUACUACAUAUGUUCACUUUCCAUAAUUUAUUUAUUCUUUAUUAUUUUCAUUUGAUCAAGGAUGAAUGGGAAUUGCCAUAUAUGGCCUUUAUUUUGGAUAUCACAAAGGAUUAUUAGUCCUUAGUACCGAAUCAGAAGGAGUCAAUUUAAGGGUAGACUGGCAAAAUAAAAAGAGAGAGAGAGCAAGAGCUUCCAUUUUCAGAUUCAACGUAUAUCAAAGCAUCUUGUCCUGCUAUGCCUAAAUCCUCCCCAUAGACUUUUCUGCUUGAGCCCGGAUUUGCUACCUACUGCUGUCGCUGUAGUUGCACUACUAAAAUAUUAUACUUGCAACGUGAAACGGAAGUCUAAAACAUGUGGACAACUUUUAUAUUUCAUUGUAUCUGCACCACAAAUUAGCUCCAUCUCCAGUUGUAUUCCAUUUUGUACUUUAGUAAAAAGGCAAAUUGUAGCCCAGAACUUCUGCUGGAAUCCCAUUUUUUCCAAGUCAAAAUCUGACAACCGAUGCUAGCAACUGCCAUAUUGGAGAAGACCGGAUGAAGAGUGACAGCCAUAAAGGCUCAGUCUUCCGAUAAUGAUAUGAAUAUGAUCCAAAUGUAAAGACAAGAAGCAGAAAAGUGAAGGCAAGGUACACCUACGCUAAUUAGACACUUGAUUAUUAGCAUUUAGCAAUGGACUUAGGUUUUCUAUAUUGUGGUGAUGGUGAAGUCAGUGUAAUUGAGACAUGAAUGGAAAAGACAGAGACCGUAGGAAUUCCUUUAAUUUUUGGGACGUCUUCUGUCGCUUCUGGUGAACAUGUAUUCAAUAGGCCAAGCAGAAUGACUUGAUAAGAAACGUGAGAUAUUAUAGCUGCAAAGGAAAGGCAUCCUCGAAUUGUGGAUGACGAAUUAUUUAGAAAAUUGGUUAAUAUUGGUUUCUUUUAUUUUGGAGUAAUUAGCUCUCCAAAUUUAUUGUUAUUUCCUACGUACUAAGAUUCUCUUACAUCAUGUAGGUUUUGGUCUCCACAAGAAUCUCAGCAGUUAAAUCUCUUAUAGUGUAAUCUAAGAUCGAACAGGAUUUCCAUAUAACAGAAUGUUUAACUGGAAAAGGAAUUAGAAGUGGCAAAGGUUCAACAAGAAUCAUAGAGUGCAGAACUGACUGUGUAGAUGUUUCACGUUUCAGUACAUUUCAGCACAUGCCCUAUCACACUCACUACAAAACAAAGCAUACUUAUUUUCACUCACUUAUUAUCUCAUUUUCUAUAUUGUACUUGUUCUUCAAUUUGCUUUAUCACCAGCAUUCAUAGAACUUGAUAUCAACUUUGAGCCUGAAAUACACUUCCCCUUCAAAGGCAUCGGUCGUCAAAGUUGCGACUCCCCUGUGCAUGAAAAAGUCUCCGGUGCCACCCACAACUGAAAUGUCUCUGGUCUUCUGCAUCAGGGGAUCAGCUCCAAUGAAAUUUACGGUGCCCUGGUAGUUCGUGCUGUUGAGAACAAAUGAAAAGCCUAGCCAAGCGGUGAAGGUGUUUUUGGUAUCAUAAAUGUACAUGCCUUGAGCCCUGCCAACAGGCUUUGAGUGAAGGUUGUUGUCCAGGGUAAUGGGAUCAUCAAAAACUACUAUGUUCCCGAAAUGGAACUGACCUGCCAGGAUGGUCAGGUUAGCACCUUGUGGUGCUGCAACAAUGGCGGAUGUGGCAUUCUCCCUGUUCUGGCCAUUGUAAAUUAUGUCAUGGAAGUAGAGAACCAAGUGUUUGCAUGGUUUGUAUUGCUUAUUCUUGAAUGGAUAGGCUGAGGAUACAGCAAGAACCGUGAAAAAAGAAAGAAGAACGCAACUUUUUGAUGCCAUUACUUCUAUAUCUGAUUACAGAAGAAAUAGCAAACAAAAGAGAAAGUGGGAUUAUCCCAAUCUUAAUGAAUGAAUUCUAGUUCUGCUAGCAACUGUGAGGUUUACUCUCCCUCACUUCCCUCUAUAUAGGGCCCGCUUCAUGGAUUUUGCGUGGAAGACUGAAAGUAGUUGGUAAGAGCACACCAAUGUCAAUCUCAUAUUCAAAAGUGUCACAGCAUCUCGUACCUGCUAUGGAAAAAUCGUUGCCAUCAAUCAUCCAUUUAGACUUUUCAGCUUAAGCUCGAAUCUGCUACCGACAACUAUCGGAUAGGCAUAAUCGUUAAAUUAAAAUAUGAGAUACAUAUUUUACCUUUAAUAUCCAAUAUCGUUUCAGGAAAUAUUAUAAAAAUUUUAAAAUUAAUUAUAAAUAAUAUUUCUAUGUAAAAUAAAAAAUUUGAAAAAUAUUAUAUUUUUUAAAAAAAUUAAAGAUUAUAGGACAUAGAUUGAAAAGAUGAUUAUUUUUUUAAUUUAAACUUUCAACAUAAUUCUUAAUAAUAUAGAUUUUUAAAUAAAAUAUACAUUUAUUAUAUUAAUUUAUUAAUUAAAAAUUAAAAAACAUUUAUCAUGUUAAAAUUAAAAAGAAAUUUAAUUUUUUAGUAUUUUUUUGUUUAAAAUCUAAAAAUUAAAACUCAUAAAAUAUAAUUUUUCAUGUUCCAACUUAAAAAAAUAAAAAAUAAAAUUUUUAAUAAUUAAUUAAAAUUAAGCUUAUAAAAAGUGUAUCGACUAUAUGGUACGAUAUGUUUCAUAUCAUAAAAUACAUAUAGUACAAUAUGCUUUUGAUAUUAAAUCAAGUACGAUAAAAUCAUAAAUAUAUAUAGUUUUUUAUUAGUAUCAUGUCGUAUCAUACUAUACAUAUCUAUUACGUAUUGUAUGAUAAUUAUAACUAUAACUAUAAAUACACCAUUAAAAUAAAUAAAUAAGCAAAUUCAAACGGAAAUCUAAUAAUUAUUGAUAACGUUUAUAUUUCACUCCAUUUGUAAGACUAUCUCUCUGCUUGUAUCGAUUUUAUUAUUAAGCAAAAAUAAAAAAUGUAGGCGGCUUCUACCCAUAAUCCCAAUUUUCUUAAGCCAAAAUCAAAACACGAUAGCAUCAAUGUUAGCGACUGAUGACUAUCAUGGAAUUUACGUUCGAAAGGCGACAGAAGCUUCGAUAAUGAUAUGAAUAUGAUCCGUGGGGAAAGGCAACAAGCAGAAAAGUAAUUGCGUAACAGCUAAGUGGGGCACUUGACAAUGGACUAAUCUUUUGGCUUAGAACCAAGAAAAUGAAGAUAUUGAAGAGUUUAAGAUGACAGGCAUACCAAGCAGAAUGACUUGGAUAUAAAACGUAAGAAAUUAGCUGCAAAUUAUCAUUAAUGGUGUCCCAGGAACUUUUGGAACAUAUACCUAGUUCUCCCUAUUCAUUGUUAUUUCCUUGACAUUCUCUUACAUCAUGUUAGUCAUCUUGGCCUCCAGGGGCAAACUGAACAAUCAAAACUUAAUUAGAAAUUCUGGCUUUGAAUCUUGGGAGUGAGGAUUGGGGUUUUAUUAUUUGAUGAAAUGAUUAGAUUAUUUCCAAUUGGUGUAGUUCAAGAUCCAGUGGGAAUUUUUACGAAACAAUAUAGUAAUUGUUCAACCAUAUCCGAAGCUAGAAUUCAUAGGUAACUCCACCUCCAUCCUCACAGAUCAUACAAGUAAUUAUUUAGUCCAUAAUAUAUUUAUGAUUACGCAAUGAAAGUCACUGUCAGUUAACGUUUGGGUCCUGUCUAAGAACGUGCAAAGGGGUCCCUUCCGAUUAUUGAGUUGUCUCAAUUAUUUCUUUUUUGCUUUCCAUGGAAACUUUGGGGGGGAAAGAUUGGUGGAGUAGGUGUGUUCGAUUUUUAUUUUUAGUGACAAACCCACUUUCUUUGUUCUUGGUUGGUGAAUGAAAUCUUCUUCUCAAGGCUGCGGGUAAGAUUCAAAGAAGGUCGGCUUUUCUUAGCAAUGCACCAAUGGCUACACCAACAUCCACACACUGUUGAAAACUUCCAAGCCACAACAUAAUGGAAAUCAGGACUGGUGAGUAACUUGGCAGCAAAGUUGUGCAUCAGGGCCCAAUAUGAUAGUUAAUAAAGAUUGAAAGGAAUAAUUCAGACAAUAUAUAAUUUUAUAAAAAUGGCUUUGCAUGGAGGAAAGGAGAUUAAACAAUCAUGAAAGAAAAGUCAAAAUCAGUUUGCUUGAUUCUACGCAACUACACUAACGCAAUAAUUACGUGAUAAAUACUAACAAAUUAAGAAAUUAAAAACCCUUUGGGGAGUAGGCAUAAUCGGUCUAAAAUCAAAAGUGGUACCAUAAUUCCACUAGAAAGGCAAGAUUGCUUUGAUUGAUUACUAUAUCCAUGAUAACUGGUUGGAUAAACAACCUUUUGCAGUACACGAAUGAAGAGACUAAUUAGAAUUAUAAAUUAGGUCCAAUUACAUGGUUAGUGAGAGUAUCCAUGGGCUGGGCAGGCAUCCCGUUUGAAGAACCUGAUUUAGGCCAAGGGUCGCAUCUUAGCUAACAGUGGAUAAAGCUUCGGUUGGUUCGCCGACAUAGCCCAUUGGAAAAGUGGGUUUAAAGCCAUGUGCCCAUAGAAAUUUAUAACAUUCUUCAAAAGGAAGUCUCAAAAAAGGCUUAUUCCUUUAAUCACGUGGAGAGCAUGGGGGAAAAAAGGAAAAAAGAAAGAAAAAGAGAGGUAAAAAGAGAGAGAAAAAAACAAGUAGGAAGAGGCCCGUGUGCAACGCACGGGCCAUAGUCUAGUUGCUGUAAUACUAAGCACAGGAGUGCUCAGCUAAGCUCUUUUUGAUGCUCUUUAUCAUUUCAUCACAAAAGAUAUAAAGGUCUUUAUUGAAGUCACAUUGCAAUAACACACAUAGGAUAUAUGAAGACCGCAAACAGAGGGCCUAAGCUAGCUAGUAGCAUUCAUACAGCUUAACCUCCAUCUUAAAGCGAAAAUAAUAGUUAUCUUGAACAAAGUCGGGAUAAAUUGUGAGAAUCCCUCUGGCCAUGAAAAAGUCUCCCCCGUUCCUCCAACAAUGGAGAGAUCCCUAGUCUUUUGGCUAAACAGAUCCGCACCCAUUACGUUCACUGUUCCCUUAUAUUCAGUGGAGCUGAACACCAAAGUGAAAGCAAACCAAGCAUUGUACUGCGUUUUGCCAUCGUAGAAAUAGAACCCUUGCGCUCGCGCAGCUGGAGGAGAAAAAAAGCUGUUGUCUUUCGUCAUAGGAUCGUCGAAGAUCACCAACAUGCCAUAGUUGUAGUUGCCAAAAGCAGUGGCGUUGAGGACCGCAAUGGACGUCGCGUUAGCAACAUCGUCGCCGCUAAAGCGGUUGUCAUGGUAAUAGAGAGAAAAGCGGUUGCAUGGUUCCCGUUGUUUCAACGUUUUUCUGGUGGCUAAAACUGAUUGAGACACGAGGAAAAGGGUGAAGAACAGAAUACACAAAUAUGACUUCUGUGGUGGCUAAUCAAGAUAGCAAUCAUCCUGCUUUAAUUUGCUGCUUCAAAAGCCAGCUUAAUUAUAUAUAUAGAGCAAUUCAAGAGGUUGGUAUAUAUCAUAAUUUGGUGGAAAAUGCUUGGGGCAGACAAUUGUGCUAGAAUCAUUGAAGUAAAUAAAGACAUUAAAUACAUUUCGUCCAUUUUUUUUAAUAUUUCGGUUAGGAAAAAUAAUACUAUUUGCGGAAAGCAUGGGCAUUAAAUUUAAUGAGAGCUCAAAUUUGACUUGCAGAUUGGACAAAACCAAGUUUGUUCAGUGUGUUAUUUGGGAAGCAUUUCUUUUGAUGACUUCUUUAUCAAAAAAAUUUGAAGAUCUUCGUACUUUGUCUCAUGUAUAUAAAUAAUUUCUCAUGCCUGGGUUUUUAAAUAGAGACUACCGCUGCUGCGCUGCUAGCACUAGGUGAUAGCCUCUCUUAACAGCUUAAGCAUGACUUAGAAGGAGAUGCUUAAUUAGGUAAAAGUUGAAGUCAACCAAACAGGACUUAAUCAAGCUCCUGCGUCAUCGCCCCACUUUGGGUCAAGGAUAUUCCGGUUAGCCGGAAUGUUGAACGGAGCCAGCUUAGCAUGAGAUUUUUUUUUUUGUUUGUUUGUUUGUUUACAGAGGAAUCUGGAGAAAGACCGUUUUUUGAUAUCAGGAGUUUCCAUUUGAUCAUGGCGGUUGCUGAGGAUGCUGGGGCAAAACCCGGGUCAUCAGGUCAAAACUUGAAAAACACUGUAGUAGAAUUCAUGGGAAGUGAAAGUGAGAUGCAUUUGCCAAAAAUCAGGGGAAAACAGCUAUUCUGUCUGGGUUGACAAGUGAAGAUUAUUGUUAUUAUGAUGCUCUUCCUGUUUAUUAAAUUAUUCAGACAAUUUAUAAUUUUAUGAAAAUGACUUUGCAUGGACAAAGGAGAUAAAUAAUCAUGAAGACAGGUCAAAAUGAGUUCCCACAAUUCCACUAGAAAGGCAAGAUUUCUUUGAUAUUGAUUACUAUAUCUAUGAUAAUGAUUGGACAAAUAAUCUUUUUAAUUAAAAACGUGUCUAUAUAUAUAUAUAAGUUUUCUACCAUUCAAAAAAAAUUUAAAAAAAAGGUUUUGAUUGGACAAUGUUAAAGGGGAGGGAUUCAAUUGCAUAAAAUUUCAAUUAAAAACUUAAUUAAAUUAAUUAAUUUUAAAGUAAAGUUAUUAAAUUGACAAAAACACCAUAUACCUCUUAAUUACUUUGACCAUUUUAAUUAAGCACAAGAGAUAUCAAAGUCUUGUUCCGCAAACAAAAGGCCUAGGUAGCUAGUAGCAUUCAUGCAACCUAAUGUCCAUAUUAAAGCGAAAUUAAUAGCUAUCUUGAACAAAGUCUGGAUAAAUUGUGAGAAGAUUUGUAAUUUGUUGCUUAAAAAUGGUUGUCGUUUUUCUUCCACCUAUCACCAUGGAAUCUAUUCCCAUCGAUCUGCUCGUGGCUCCAUUAAUGAAAUCAGCAUCUCUUGUUGAGGUAAGUCAUGUUCCUCGUGUAUAUGAUUUCAUUGGUGCUUUAAGUCAAUAACAGUAACGAUGGAAUUACUCUUCAAAAAAAAAAGGCUCAUUUUGAUCAUUGAAUAUUAAAGAAUAAUACGAGACAACAACUGUUAAUUACGAAGGCAACGACUGUUGAAGCCAAAUCAGCAGGCAGGCAGCACCUUUUUUGACAUUAGCAAUUCCUUUGGAGCACUACGCCUGACAGCUCCCAUGGAAUAACUAGACAUAAUCUUCCCAACGACUUGUUGCCGGAUUCGACGUACUAUCAGCUCUCAAGACAAUGACAUUUCUUUAACAUGGUAAAAGGGAACUUUCUUGGAUCCCGCACCGCACUGCACCCUUCAUACGCACUGAAUAUACAGAUCCAUGCAGAUUCAGUGUCUCUGUUCCGUACGUUCAAACGUACCUGAAGUUGUUCUACAGACAGUAGACAAUGAAAUUUUGAAUCAAGGGUUGAGUUUUGCACUUUGGGUUCUAUUUUCGGAUCAGAGAAGCAAUGGAAAUCAUUUCAUCAAUGUUGAAGGAAAGAAACUGGGGCAUCUGGGACAUCUGCAUUACUUUAAUUCUGAAGCUAGGUAGAACACAGAAACUAUGCACGUUCCGUAUAGCUUGCACAUCCCGUCACGUUUUUGUUAAUUUAAACGGGACAAAAUAUUGUUGUUAGAAUGUCGAACCAAGAAUCCAGUUGUUCUAUGUCGACCAGGCAACCAAUUUACGAAGAAAAAAAAAUUAAAAUUGGUCAGGAGCCAAUAGCAGAUAUGUCAGCAGACAGGAUCAUUGAGGAGCAUCGGGUAUGAAUCCCCAGUCAAGACUAGUUAGUUAGGCCAAAACCCCGUGAUCAGCUUUGAUUCUAUUUCGUAUCAAGAUCAUAUAAAAGAGAGGAAAUUAUUUUGCUAACUGGGAUAAGAUUUGCAUUGAAUUAAAGCUUUGUACAAACAGAUGGAAACAAUGACAUCUUUGCAAACCUAAGAUUAAUUAGGAUUGCAAACUUGCUACCACGUAUACAUAGAAUACACAAAUCACACCCAAACAUCAAACUAUAAAACCUAUUGCAAUCUGUUUUAAUUUGAUUAUUUAUAUUGAUUUUAGACUCAACCAAACCUAGCACGUGGCUAAUUAACCAAGCCUAUAUAUUGUUUAAUGGCAUUCAUACAACUUAAUAUCCUUCUUAAGGCGAAAGUAUUUGUCACCCUGCAUAGUGUCAGUCUUAAAGGUAGCAAUGCCUCUAGCCAUGAAGAAAUCUCCUCUUCCCCCAACAACUGACAGAUCUCUAGUCUUCUCCAUCAUCAUAUCCGCACCCAUAAUGUUUAGAGUUCCCUUGUGAUGACUUGAGUUGAAGAUCAAAGUGUAAGCAAACCAAGCAUUGUAGUCGGUUUUCAUGUCGUAGAAAUAGAAACCCUGUGCUCUUGCAACAGGAUGGGAAAGGAGGCGCUGGUCUUUUGUCAUGGGAUCAUCGAAUACCACAAGCAUCCCAAAGUUGAAGUUCCCUAGCUUAGUCAUAUUGGUAGCUGCGGCAGAUGUGGCGUUAGCCAUGUCAUCGCCACCGAAGAGGAAGUCAUGGUAGUAGAGCAUGAAUCGUUUGCAUGGUUUUUGUGGGUUCAAUGCUUUUUGGUAGCCCAAACAGAGUGUUGAGAUACAAGCAGGAAUAAGAAGACAAGGCAACAUGAUUUCUCUACAGGAGAUCUCAUGGCUAAUUAAGGCUAGUUUAAUUGAUGCUUCGUGGUUGAUAAAACUAAAUCUCUUCAGAUAUAUAUAGAGAGAGAGAGAGAGCAGCUGCUAAAUACUGUUAUUUGUUACUCACACAAAAAAGCGGAAGCAUGCUGUCCUUUUCUGCUAAGUAUUAAGUCGUCUAGAAAAUAUACUUGCCCAACGAAUCUUUGUGGCCAUUUCAUUGUAUGAUAAAUGCUUAAGACAGUAGUAGUUAAAUCUAUUCAAUCAGCAAAGCUUGAAUCUUCCACGGAGGGGUUCAGAAAAGACAGCCGCACGACGGAUAAUUUAUUACAAUUAACUAAUUUAUAGCUUGAUUAGGCUUUGCUAAUUAUGGAUCUUAGUUCAAACAAAGAAGAAAAGAAAGAACGUUUAAAAGUGCUUACGAAUUUGUAUAGAUUACAGACCAAUUGUUUACUUGAAAGUAACAGUAUAUUGAUUUAACUUUAUUUUACUUAGUCUUUUCUUAAUCUCCCAUUAACAUUUAAUUAGUCUUUUCUAAAUCUCCUUUUAACCUCUUAUUGUUCCGCACUUAAACCAUCUAGUAUUCUCUUUGGACAAUGACAUGCAUUAGGUUUGUCAUCUCAGAAUAAGAAGUAUUAUGUUUUCAAGAUUUCACUCUCGAAUCCAAACGACAGAAAUUAGUUGAUAUAUGAUAUGAUCUAAAGUUUAAUUAUUAUUCUCUCUCCUUAACCAGAGAGAGAGAGAGAGAGAAGGAAAACACAAAAACACAGAAGAGGGUAGAUAAACCCAGACCUUCGUGUUAAUAGACUUCAAUCUAAUGGAGAAAGGCAACAACUGGGUGCAGAGUUGAGUCAGUUUCAAGGAACAGAAACAAGAAGAGAAACACAAGCCCUGCAGACGGCCAAGCAUUAUCUUCGAGUGGCUGGGUCAUAUUUGUGAAGAGAAGCUGUAACCCAUCACUGUCCCACUACUUUUCUUCCCCGUUAUUUUGUCAGCAGUGCUACUCCUCUAUGCAAACUUGUUGAAGAAUGCAAAUCUAGUUUCCCUCAAUGCGUUAGGCAAUCUUCAGUCGGACCCUACAGAUACACAUUUUCAUUCGUUGGUAUCUUUACUUUGCCCAUGGCUCAGCCGGAUUCCACUGCUAACUAGCAAUGACUUUCCCAAUCAAUUAUAAGUCAGCCGUUUUACUCCAGCGAUUUGCAGAAACAACAGAAGCCAAUCCUAUGCUUGCAUUGUAGCUACAUAUCCAAACACCACUAGAAUCUCUCAAUAAUCAGCCAGUGAUCGGCACCAAAUGUGUCGUGGCAGUAUCAAUAGCAUUCAGCUUAGCUAAAACAGAAUUUCAUUUCUUUUCAUCCUGUUUGCAAGAAAGCUUCUCAAUAACUUCACUCCCCUCUAAUUCAAUCUCUUUAGCAUAGUUACUAGCUCUAAUCAGGAUUCUUUGAAUUCAAGAAAUUCCUCAAGCAUUUCAAUUUCAGUAAGACUACCCAAAUCAAGGUUGAAAAGCACAUCCAUGCGCAGUCAAGUUACUUUAAGUAUGUAAAUUGUACAUGGAAAUUCAACAAUUAGAAAAAAUAGAUACGUUUCAAUUCAAGUAAAGAAAUACAUUUAUCAAAACUAUUCAAAGAAAGGUUGAGAAUGCUAAAAUAACUUUCAAAAGUAAGGCUACAAAACAAGAUUAAUUCUCACCAAUCUCGAAAUUCCCCAAGCUCCAAGGGAAGCCAAGACUUGUCCAAAUCUUUGCCAUGUCACCAAGAAACUCGCCAGUUAAACUAACUGCCAUAUUGUUCCUCCAAUCUUCAUCAGGUUUGUAGUUUUGCACGGUGAACCAAUUAAUCAACCGCUUGAGGAGUUUCUCAAAAGACAACAAAUUGUUUUUUUGUUCUCUUACACUCAACAGGGCCCUGUUUUAAUAGUUGGAGGUUCCUCACAUCGACUCCUAGUGACUGAUUGUCAGAGCACAAAUUUCUUGGAGAAUCUAGCCUACUAUCCACUUGCAUCCUUGUUACGAAGCCUAUAAACUAUACGUCCCUUGGUUGAAUCAUAAGGACUCAAUUCAACUCUAACUCUGUCUCCAGGCAAUACUCGUACGAAAUUUUUUCGUAUCUUUCCAGAAAGAUAACCUAGAAUUAAAUCUUGAUUGUCUAAAAGAACUCGAAACAUACCAUUGGGAAGUGAUUCAGUAAUUAAACCUUCAUGAACAAAUUUUUUGUCUCCCUGCUUCGCCACAGUUUUCUCGAUCUUACUUCUCACAAACCUAUCAUUAUCAGGGCCCCUUGAACUCGCCUUCUUGCAAGUUAUUCUUCUCGUUGUUGACACCUUUUUCAGAUUGAAUUUUACCCGGCUAAUGAAACAAAGAAUGGGCUUUUAAGGUGUUAGUUUUUCAUAGUUUGCAAACAGUAUUUUAAGAUUCAAAUUCUAGAUAUUUCAUCAUCCUUGAUGACAGAUAGGUUAUCUAAUGUAUCAGUUUCAUCAAUUACCAGAUAAAAUGCUUUAAAACCAUAAGAUUCCAUUUGGGUUUUGGAUUAAAAACCUAUCUUUACAGUCAAUUAACAAAAUUGAUACAGUAAGACACAAAAACCACCAACCAACUUCAAAACUAAUCAAACCCAUAUAUGCUGAUGUACUCAGAAGUAAUAUAGACAAAAUAAAACGAAUAAAAAAUUGGUUUUUAGCAGUGAAUCGAAAGCAAAAAAAAAAAAAAGAGCAUAAAUUUCAGAGUAACUUAAACAAAGAUGAUGGCCUACUUGAUGAAAAAGCAACUGGAAGCCGUAUUUUGGCGGGGAAGAACCAGAGAGAGAAACGGAGGAUGAAGAUUGGAGCAGAGGGAAGCCAUAAUCUCAAAACCCUAACUCACUGUAAAGCCGGAAUGGCGUUCAAUCCCCUCAAACCUGAUGUUAUCCGCUUAGAGUUAUACAGUGUGGCAGGGUGUAAGUUUUUUAAGUUACGCUACAGAUAUAACAAUGACACAUCGGCUGUUCCCGAAAUUCCAUUUCUUUUAACUUUAUUUGAAGUUUUGUUUUCCAUGGAAAAUUCUUUUCUUUGAUGUUAAAACCCUUCUGAGCACAUUUACAUUAAUAUAAUAUAAAAAAAUUCUUUUUUCCCUUUUCAAGAAAGAAAGGGAAACACACUUGUUGGAUGGUGGCCUGAAUUGAACCUAAAUCUUGGAAAGGGUCAACAUUAAACAUUAAUUGAUUUACAUAUUGAUUGGGAGGGAAAGAAGGUCUUUGGUAAUAGAUGAACGUUUUGAUGUGAUCUUCAACUAUUUCAUGUAAAAUCCAUACUAAACAGACAUUAUAAGAAGCAAGAAAAACAAUGUGAAUACGACUAUAUACAUAUAUAGCUAAGUAGAAAGAAUUUUCAAGUUACUAUUUAUCAUUUUUUUUUAAUUUUUUGCUUUGUGUACUGAAAAUUCCUCUACAUUGUGUACUCAUCAGGACAAAAUGUUCGGACAAUGAGAUUUAGCUGGAUUCUGAAUCUUUGUCAGGUGAUUCUUCCUCCAUGUCUGAAGCCAAAUUCAGAGAUACACGGCCAUGGUACUGUUGAACAACUAAGACUGAUGCUGUCGCUGAGAAAUCUGGAGAAAUCAGCAAACAACCUACAGGCCCCAGUUCUGGGCAUUCACUUCUCCUCAUUAAAGCUAAGGCCAACUCACCAUCAGGCAUUCGCCCCACGAGAACAAGAUUGCAGCGGCUUGCCUCACGAAUUGCAGCAAAGGUUUCUGUGGCAUUUCGGACAGCCUUUUCCUCAUAUCUGACAGAGUCAUCAUUUGAUAUUUUCUGCUUAAACUUGGAAAGAAAUUCUUCAUCCAAUGACAUUGAUUUGAGGCCGGAAUUCUCUUGCAUAUCAAUCCUAGCAAUUUCUCCAAUAGUUUCAGGUUCCACUACAAAGCGAAUAACAUUUAAACUGAUACCUGGGUGCUCAGCCAUUCGAGCCCCAUAAGCAAGGGCUUCACGAUCAUCACAGCCCCCAAAGAAAAGAACUGUCAUCGAAAGGGAAACAUUGCUUGCAGAUACAUGGGUGGUUCCACCAAGCCCACGAUCAACUAGAAUUCCAAUGGAACAAGGCGCAUGUUCAAGAACCCUCUGAUUCACCCAGCGGAAGUCUGUCCGCGUAGUCUCAAACGAACCAUCCAUUCUCUGGUGCUUAUGGAAUGGAAGAAUUAUGAUCGCAGCUCUCUUUCUCUCAGCAGUGGUACAGAUGUCCUCAUGCAUGUCAGCCAUUGAAGAGAUUGAAGUCAUUGACCGGACAGUUACUUGACUCAGUUGCUGGAAAGCUUCAAAUGCCACAACAAUAUGGUCAGAAUCUGAAUGCCGACCCUUAUUCCAGAAGGGAAGCCCAUUUUUCCUUGCCUUGUGUACCAUUAAUAUAGCUGAUGACCUCUCAGAUAGUUCCAUAAGGUGCAGAGCAUACACAGAAAAUCCUUCACGCUUCCCUACGCCUCGUGAAGCCUCAAGGAGAUUUAUCAUCGAUGGGAUAUUUCUUGAGCUGUGGAAACAGGUCAAUAUUCUAAGUUGAGUAUCUGGAUUUUUUCUUUCGAUGGUCCUAUGCUUGUAGUCCACUUUUCUGCUUCUUGCAGGCUUAUAUACAGCCAUAACAACUGGUGUGGUAAUGAAUGUAGUGAAGAGAGCCAUUAGAACCAUAAUGGCAAAUGUCUGAUCAUUCAGAACCUGAAAGUGAAAACAGCCAAAAUGCAUCAUUUAUUUCAUAAAAACCAUAAUGAAACAAGGCAAUGACUCUAGUCACUACAGGAGGAAAACUCAAUUUACCUUUCUAUCCCUCCCAAUAUUCAGAACAAUGAGUUCAACCAGCCCUUUAGUAUUCAUAAGGAACCCAAGCGCAAAAGCCUCACGAGCAGGAACUUUGCAGGAAAGGGACACCACAACAGUCCCAACAAUCUUCCCAAAACAUGCUGUAAAAAUCACCAAAGCCAGAAGACCCCAGGAUUGAAGCCCUUGAAUUGUUGCAAUGUUUGUCUUCAGUCCACUUGAAACAAAGUAUAAUGGCAAGAACAAACCAGAUACAAGAUCCUCAACUUUUUCCACAAGAGCACCGGCAAAUGGCCCUUCCUUUGGGAAAACAACUCCAACCACAAAAGCACCAAACAUGGCAUGAAUUCCAAUAGCAUCAGUUACAAACCCGGCGGCCAGAACAGCAGCUAAUGUAGCACAUAUGUAUAUCUCUUCUACUGGCUCACCUUCAUGGCAUCGAUAAGCCAUCCAUUUGAAUAUUGGGGGUACAAUGAAACUCAAACAAAUGACAAAAACACACCCAGACAAGAAGACCCACAGUGAUGCAGCGGGAGAACUGUUAGAUCCAGAAAGGGCAACAGCAAGAGCAAGUAGAAUCCAUGCAGCUACAUCAUUAACAGCUGCAGCUGACAUAGCAAUUCUUCCAACAUCUGUCGUUAAAAGCUUCAGCUCUGCCAGAAUGCGAGCUAAGACAGGAAAGGCAGUAAUAGAAAGAGCAACACCCAUGAACACGAGAAAUGCAGAAGCAUUGACACCUUUUGAUAUAGUUGCUUUGAGCAAAAAUGAAGAGCCAAUUCCUAAUGCAAAAGGAAGCCCUAUUCCAGCAACAGCAAUUCCAAGGGCUGUUUUUCCAGUUCGACGGAGGGCUUUAAGAUCUAUCUCUAGACCAGCAAGGAAUAAAAAGAAAAUGAGACCAAUGUUUGCCAGAGUAUCCAGUACAGUGAGACUCUUGGGUGGAAAUAUAGCUUGCAAGUAGCUCUUGCUUCUACCCAGAACAGAUGGCCCAAGUAAAAUUCCUCCCUGGUAGAUGAGCAGUGAAAUUUAAAUCAAUAGAAUAUUGUGUUACUUCCAGAAGCUAUAGUAAUUUUUUACUUAAAACAUCUAAAAAAAUUGGAAAUGUUUUUUAAAUUUCAGAUGGAAAAAUUAUUGAAGUGGGAAACUAUAAACUUUUUGCCAUAAUUUGACAUCAGAUAUACUGAUAACUAUACAUAAAUAACGCUAACAUGGGAAAUCAAUACAUGGAUAUGUAGAAGUUUGAACAUAGAAAGGAACUCACAAUGAUCUCUGCAAUCACACGUGGCUGCCUUAUUGGCCUUAAAAGAAAAGCAAGGCCCCUUGUUAGUACAACUACCAGACAUAUCUGCACAAUGGCAAGAGGAAGUGCAUAAUCAAGGGGGUUAUCACCCUGGAAGAGGCCAUUUGAUGUAGCCUUCAUUGGCGAUGGACAUUUCUGUCCAACUGUAGCAUUAGAAGCCAUUGCACUGGGACAAUACUAACAGAAAAGAGCACUUCACGCUUCAGUUCCAGCAAAGAGAUAUAGCUUGAGAUUAGGUGGAAAAAAUGCCAAACAAACAGAAGGAGAAAAGGGGAAAGUUUUAUGAUUUUCUUAAACAUGAGUUAGUUCAUGUGAGAUGGUGACAGCUUAGCAUAAAAAAUGAAAAUUACGACAAAAUUAGAUAGUAUUUAAAUGCAGGAGAACUAAAGAAGAAAUUUAAAGCAAGCUAUGCACCUGAAAUAGAUAAGCAAAUUUGAUCUAGUAAAGACAGGAACAAAUUCACUUUAUUAUUCUGCUUUCAAGAUAUUUCAAGUUUUUUUUUUUGUUUUGAUAAGCUUUCAGGAUGUUUCAAGUAAUGCAAAGUAUGGCAAUCUAAUUUGCUCUCCUUUCUUUUCCUCUACUUAUAAGCAGCCAAAUAUGAAUCAGAAAUGGGGUUAGAAGCCAAGGUGAUAAAUCAAAUAAUAGCAUUCAAAACAGAAAACAUAAUUCUAGUAAAAAUAUGUUACAGUUUCAUUAGUGAGAAAGUAAGAAAAGCCAGGUUAAAAAAAUUGAAAAAGAAAAAGACAGCCUCUAGCUCUAAUACCAUAAUUUGAUCCACUCAACCUCCCUUGGAGCUAAGAUAUGAUUUUAAAACAAAAACAUAGGAAUUAUUUUGCAAAAAUUUGAAAAUUGGAAUGAAGAAACUUACUCAAAUUAUGAAAAGAUACGUAUGGAGCGCUCCAACUUUAUAAGGUAUUUAUCCAGAGUUCCUACAAAAAAAAAUAAAUAUGAGUAAACAGUUUGUAACUGAAGCAAGCAACAAAAAAUAAUCAUAAUAAAAAGAACAAUCUGAGUCGAGAUCUACGAAGCAAUUGGGACCGAAUUCCUAAUGGUAAAAUGAAAAAUUACAGAAAAGGUUUCAAUUUUCAAAAAUGGCUUAAUCUUUUAACAAAUAAUUUAAAAAUUAAACGGACUUUUAUAAGAAAUAGAUGCAGAGUUUAAAGGAUUUGCAUUAGUUAAUAUAUUAGCUAAAACAAUGACUUUACAACAAAUCCUGAUAUAACAGAAAAGAAAACAUUCUAUUAAAGGUUUCAAUUGAGGUUUUCUAAAAUUCACGCCUCUUCGUUAAAUACAGAAAAAGAAAACAUAACAAAACGAACUAUUUUUGGUUAAUUUUCACUAAGCUUUUGAGUUUCUCGGCAGCCAAACAGAGCCAGAUAUAACAGAUGCACAUGAGCGUCAUUAAAAAAAAAAAAAAACUACGCAUUAAAAGUACAUUCUAUUUCCCUGGAGAAGUUAUCUGUUGCAUCGACAAACUGUAAACGAAAAAUAUAUGAAACCGCUGAUUUAGGCGAGAUAUCAGGCAUACUCAAAUAGCAUGCAAGAUCCCAGAAUUACCUAUGAACUAAAAAGACAAUCCAUUUAUCCAGAAUUCGAGUGACACAUCCCAUAAAACUCAACAGGAAUCAGAAACAGAGAAACAGAACAGAGUUUUUUUUUUUUUCUCUCUCUCCAAAAGAGCAGUUCACGAAAUCAACAAAAAAAAAAAACAAGAAACACACUCUGCAUUGUAGAGAAUAAUGGGCAAUACCUUUUUUUUACAAAAGAACCAAUUUGGGUUCUCUUCACCCGAUCGAGAGGUUUCCAGAGAAACAGGUCUUCCGGAGUUUAGAUGAAAAAAACCGAGUAACGAUGAUAUCAGAGAUUUAAAUAAAUAUUUUCUUUUGUGUUUUUUCGGAUCACAUUCACAUGGGCAUGCGUUUGGAAGAUGCAGAGAGUUAUUGACUUCGAAUAGGACACCUGUAGUAUACUAUGAUAUCCUACUGGUUUUUAAGUUGGGAAGAUAAAGAGGCACGCCUCCUUUUUGAGUUUUUAUAAGUCUAAAUCUCUUUCAUUUGGAUUUGACUUUUUCCACCGCUGUAAUUGUGAUGGGCUUUUUUUAGAUUGGGUGGAUUGCACUAAUAUUACUGAUUUGAAAAUUUAAAAAGUUUUUAUGUAAUUCAAUUUGGAUUCUUUAUGGAAUUUCCUUUCCUGUUUCAACUUUCUUUUUUAACAUUUAAAUUUCAAAUGUCAAAAUAUCCGUCAUUUAUUAAUAUGAAAAUAUUGAUAUUGAUCUCUAUUGUCAUUCCUAAUUUGCCACCUCAGUUCCUUUUUAGAGUUUUAAUUGCAUUAUCUAAAGUCAAUUAUGAAAGAAAAUUUUUUUAAUUGAUUUAUGUAUUUAUAUCUCUAUUUUAUAUAUAUAUAUAUGAUCUACAAUUUCAUAUCAAAUGACAGAUAAAUUGGCCAUCCUAUACUAUAUCAAAUUAGUUUUUCGAAGAGAAAGCAUUGACGUGUAAUAUAAAAAUUUAUAUAAUAUUUGCUGGAUAAAGAAAUUAACUGGAAGAAAAAGCAGCCAAUCAGAGGGCGGGUCCCACAUUUCGGUUGUGGGGAUCACGAUGAUCACCGUUCCAGUGUGACGGCGAAAGUGGGGAUAUAUUUCUGUUCAAGAAUGUGGACUGAAGCUGCUUUCCCUUUGGAUUGAGCGGUCGUCCUCGUGUUUGAUUCCUUAACUUGCUUUUCUAAAGGGGGGGGAUUCUUGUCCGUCGUGGCACUUUUGCUGCUUUAAGAACUAGUUGAAUGGAUAUAAUCAAACGCCAUUACACCAUAUAAAACUAGCUAGAUGCAAAAUCUAUUAUCACUAACAAAGUCCUUUAGCCUUGAGCCUAAUUAUGCUGCCUUUCUUUUCUCAAUUCUCCCGCAAAUGCCAUUAAUAAAUGGCAGCUCCCACGACAUUUAUAGAAUCUUUGGUACAGGAAAGAACUAACUAUUUUUUCUCUAUUCUCUUUUUUUUUUUCCUAGUGUGGUUGACAAUUGUCGCAAGGAAUAAUUAGUCUUAAAUAUUAAUUAAUUUUCAAAAUCAACCAAAAGUCAUACUUAACAAAAAGUAUUUGCUAUUUCAUAGUAGACAUUACAUGGGUAGAUCUGAUCGUGAAAAGCACUAAUCUGAUGCUCUAGUGGCUAAUGGCCUCACACCAAUGACUGUUUUCUAGUUCCACUCAGACCAUCACUCUCCAAAUAAGACGUGGUAAGCUGGCAACAAAAUAAAACUCUCUCUCUCUCUCNUACUACUACUACUACUAUCUCUCUCUCUCUCUCUCUCUCUCUCUCUCUCUCUCUCUCUCUCUCUCUCUCUCUCUCUCUCUCCUUAAAGAAUGGUCAACUUUCCUCGUGCUCUUACGUCCAUUAAACGUUGCAAGAAAGUGUGGUCAGGACUCAAAUCUGUCAAGGUUCCGUACUUAAUUCGGCUGAUAUCUUAGUAACAAGAAUAUUCUCCUGAAAGAGCCUUCCUGACACCACACGACAACUGUAAUCGUUCCAAAAAGCCUAAUGCAAUCUCUCCAAUCUCAGUUUGCAAUAUCAUUAUAAGAUAUAAGAUCAGGAAAAAGAAAUACCUAAACAACCCAAUAUCAUAGUUUUGGAUCGCAUACGAAGCAUUAAAAGUAGAUUUUAUUUCUCCGGAGAAGUUAUCUGUCGCAUCGACAAAUCAAACCGCUGAUUUAGCCGGCCAUGUAUCAGGCAUACUCAAAGAGGAUGCAAGAUCCCAGAAUUAUCUAUGAACUAAAAAGACAAUCCAUUUAUCCAGAAUUCAAUGCGGCAUUUUCCAUAAAACUCAACAGCAAUCAGAAACAGAGAAACAGAGCAGAGGUUUUGUUUCCCAAAAGAAGAGUUGAGGAAAUCAAUAAGAAAGAAAUACAAGAAGCACACUUUGCAUUGCAGAGAAUAAAAGGGAAUACCUUUUCUUACGGAAGAACCACUAGAUUCCUGAACGAGAGGUUUCCAGAGAAAGGGUCCUCUGGGAUUUCACUUCUGAGUGGUAAUGUUAAAACUGGAAGUAUGAACAGAUCGAGAGAAACUAGAACCAACGUUUUGUAAUAUUUGUGAUCUAUUUCCCUUGACGAAAAUUGCAAUACAUUCUGCUAUUUAUAAGUGCAGUUCUGUCUUCAGUCUUCAGUACUGUAACAAACUUAACAGAAUGUAUGUAAGCUAGAUUACAAGAUAACCUCAACAAGUUAAUGAUAUUUGGACAAAUGCCAUCAUGUUGACAGUUACCGUUAACUGCCAUGUGCCCUGCACAUGCUCAAAUCUUGCAUGUUGCACAUGAUCAAAUCCUCCACUCUUAACAGUAAACGACCAAAUAACAAACAUAUUUGAGAUUUCAAUAAACUUUUUCUUUUGCAGCAAAAAAGGAAGAAAAAGAAGCACAAAUUUGUUUUUUCGGGAUCGCAUUCACAUGGGCAUGUGUUUGGAAGAUUAAGAAAUUAAAGUUGUUUUUCUACGUAGACAAAAAUGCCAUGUCGAGUAGGCAGGGAGAACAGAAAAGUUACGUAAAUGUUUGCCUAAUAAAGUAAUUAAGUGGAAGUUUAGCACCUAAUAAACAAAGUGCUUAAUGAAUGACUAAAACGACAGUGACAGCAGACGGUAGGUCCCAUAUUUCGGUUGUUGGGAUGACCACGAUAACCUUUCCGAUGUGGUGGCAAAGGUGGCAAUAUAUUUUUGUUUAAGAAGUUAGACUAAAGCUGCAUUCCCCUAGCAUGUUUGAUUCCUUAAAUUGCUUUUCUAAAGAGAAAGGAUUCUUGUCAGUUGCCACUAGUGGGACUUUUGGCUGCUUUAAUAAUUAGCUGAGAGUAAAUAAUCAAACACCAUUACACCAUAUCAAACUAGCCAGAUGCAAAAUCUAUUAUCACUAACGAAGUUCUUUAGCCUUGAGCAUAAUUAUACAAAUGGCAGCACCCAUGAUCUUAAACGUCAUAUCCAUAUAGUGGGUGGAGGGGUUGGGCCUUUGGGGUUUGACUAACUCUCUCCCUGCUGCUGAUAUUCAAUGUACUUUUGGGUUUUGGCAGCAUUGAGAUAUCAGAAAUGGAGCACUAGCUUUAGAUGACAUUCGGAUAGCCGACAUGAUAAGGGUUUGAUCUUUUUCCUAGUCGGAAAUGAUCGUACAUCAAGUAUGGGUUUGAUCAACGCGUCUCCUGUUUGUAGAAUUCCAGCUAGAAGAGACAAUUACUAACGAUAUUAAAAUAAAAAAAAAACACUUCAAAAAGAAAAUUAUUGAUGUUUACGGCCAGAAACAUUCCAUGAAAUGGGAAGGAUUAAAAGCAGGAUAGUCAUUGGCUAGGUGUUUAUUGUUAUUGACUUAUUGUCCAGUAUAUCGACUUCGUUUCUUAAUGAAUGAAGUAUGCAUUAUGAAAGAGAGAGGUCAACUUCAUGGUAUAUAUAUAUAUCGGUUAUAACCAUGCAUGGACUUGUUUGACUGUCGGCCAAACGUGAUUCUCAGGCCUAAACCUAGGCACUUAAAAUAUAUAAAGAAUUCCCAGAAUCUGAUCUAUGGGAAAGAAACUUGGAUUCAAUAUCAGUAUUAAAUGAGCUGUGCAUUUAAAGCCGACAGAAGAAAGCAACAAAGAUUAAUUAGGGGAUGUCAAACAGGUAAAUUGCCUACUAGGCACUAGCCCUAGUUCGAGUUCAGUCAUUCCCGGACCCUGGUGUACGAUUUUGCACUAACCUGACUUAGUGGCAUUUUCUGCUGCAUUUCUUCAUAAUUGAGAAGGUACUUGUCAGUUGAACUUUUGUUCCACUACAGGAACUGCUCAUCAGUUGACAAUAUGGCUCAAGGGUUGGAGUCAUCGUCGGCAUCAACUCUAGGCCUACAAGGGUACAGAAAGAAAAGAAGACCCGGACAUGCUAAAAGCACCCAACACACACUGGACGCCAGCUUCUAGAUGAGAAGAUUGCAUUCAGAUGCUGUAUCCUUUCCCAGAGCCGAAGGCCAAGCACAAUUUCCUCCCUCCAAAAUCGUAUGGAAAAAUUGACAUGUCAAACUCUCCCGUGAACAUGAAACGGUGUCGGUGCAUGCAUUGUAGACAUGUCUCAUCAUGUGAUGCAUGUCAAGACAUCAAUUUAAUCUAAAAUGGUUCAUUUUUCUUUUUCAAUUACAUCUUUAAGCUUUAGAAAUCAAUCUUUCUAGAAUUCUACCUUCUUCUUUUCUGAUGGGAUGUAAAAUUAUGUAAAAGGGAACUGAUACUAUUCGAUAAGAUAUGUGCGGCCAUUGAUGAAUUGGGCAAUGAAAAAAAGUUUCUUUCAUUUUGCAAAACAACAAAAAUAGCAAUCAGUGGACUUAUUUUUGAAAACAAAUCAAUAGACGGUUUAAUCAGACAGCAGGACGAUGGGGCGUGUGGAGAAACUAAAUGGAAAAUUAUGAAAGGUUGGAAUAACUUUCUUAUCUACUUUAUUUAACGAAAAGUAUUGGUUGAAAUUAAUUAAUGCCAUCAACCAGACGUUAUAAUUUUUAAGUUUCAAAUUUAAGCAUCAUGAUACAUGAAUUUCUCUCAAUUUUAUUUUAUUUUUUUAUAAUAUUCUUAUAUAAAAAUAUUAAUUACGGGUAUAAUGCUUAUUUUGUGUUAUUAUAUCAUAGUUAUAAUGGUCCUUGUUAUUAAUUAAUUAGUACUACAACAUAAUUGCAUUAAUCAUCAUAAGGGUAUAAUGCUGAUUUUUAAUAAUUAAUAUAUUUAAUUUUCAGAAUCAUGGUUGUAAUCUGAUCAUGAUGCUGUACAUCCAACUAUCCAAGGCAGAGCAAAGUUGAUCAUGCACUUUCUAUAUCCGGAUCGGGCGUCUCUGCAACCUUCGUAGAAGUUACUGAAGGAGGAGGUGAGUGCUUCGUAAACUGUUGCACCACCAAAACAGAUGCUGAAGUUGAGAAUUCAGGGGAAGUCAACAGGGUGCCUACUGGCCCUAGUUCAGGGCAGUCGCUCUUGGCAUUCAAUGUGGCUGCAACCUGACUCUCAGGCAUUCGACCGACCAGGAAAAGAUUGCAUCGGCUGAAUUCUCGAAUUACUUCGAUCGUUUCCGUUGAAUUUUGCACUACUCUUUCUUCAUAACUUAUUGUGCUGUCAUUUGAGAUUUUCUUCUUAAAUUCAAUCAGAGCCCGUUCAUCAGUUGACCCUUCAGAAGCAUUGGAGAUUGUGUUUAUAUCAGUUCGGACGAUCUCAUCGCCUGAAAUCUCAGGGCCUGGUAAGAAGCGAAUAACGGUUAGACUGAUGCCAGGGUGCUCGGCCAUACGUGCACCAUAAGUAAGGGCUUCACGAUCAUCAUGUCCCCCAAAGAACAAGACCGUUGUGAUGGAAGAAACAUUGCUUGCAGAUAUAUGGGUAGUUCCACCAAGACCGCGAUCAACUAAGAUCCCCACUGAGCAUGGUGCUUCCGCGAGAACUUGCUUAUUGACCGAAUGGAACUCGGUUCGAGUUGUCUCCAAUGACCCAUCCAACCUCUGGUGCCUAUGAAACGGGAGAAUUAUCAUGGCUGCCCUUUUUCUUUCAGCACUAGUGCAGAUAUCCUCGUGCAUGCCAGACAUUGCUGAGAUUGCCGUCAUUGGGCGGACAGACACUCUGCUUAGCUGCCUGAAAGUCUCAAAAGCAACAACAACUUGAUCACUAUUUGAUUGCUUCCCCUUAUUCCAGAAAGGUAGCCCAUUCUUUCUAGCCUUGUGGACCAUAAGUAUCGCAGACGGCCUUUCUGAGAGUUCCAUGAGGUGCAUUGCAUAGACACAUAGUCCUUCCUUUUUCUCAGUUCCGCGUGAAGCCUCAAUGAGAUUUAUCAUAGAGGGGAUGUUUCUUGUACUGUGGAAGCAGGCCAAUAUUCGAAGCUGAGUAUUAGUGUCUUUCCUCUCGAUUGUCCUGUAUUUGUGAUCACGUUUACUCAUUCUUUUAGCCGGCUUAUACACCGCCAUCACAAGAGGAGUAGUUAUAAAAGUGGUAAAGAUUGCCAUCAAAACCAUGAUUGCAAAUGUUUGAUCAUUCAAUACCUGCAAUAUCAAUUGGAAACGGUGAUUGAUCAAGUAUAAUAUAUAAACGGAAAGAAUGUAUAACUGUACAAGGCCUUAAGACCAAUCCAACAGCCAAAAAGUAAGUUUUACCUUCCUGUCUUUACCAAUGUUUAGAACAAUGAGCUCUACCAAGCCUUUAGUAUUCAUGAGGAAGCCAAGAGCUGCAGCCUCCUGAAAAGGCACCUUGCACAUAAGGGAAACGGAUACAGUGCCAACUAUCUUUCCAAGACAUGCUGUAAUGAUCACAAGAACGAGGAGACCCCAAGACUGAGCCCCUCGAAUCGUGGCUACAUUUGUCUUCAAGCCACUGGAGACAAAAUACAGAGGAAGGAAAAGGCCAGAUACAAGAUCUUCAACUUUUUCCACAAGGGCACCAGCAAAUGGCCCUUCCUUGGGGACAAGAACUCCAAUCACAAAGGCACCAAAGAGGGCAUGAAUUCCAAUAGAAUCAGUAACAAAACCAGCUGCCAAAACAGCAGCCAAAGUAGCACAUAUGUACAGCUCUUCCACUGGUUCACCCUCAGGGCAACGCUGUGCCAUCCAUUUAAAUAUAGGAGGGACAAUGAAUAUGCAGCAAAGGACAAAACCAGAACCACACAAGAAAACCCAUAAUGAUACUAAGGGAGAAUGGCCAGUUCCUGAUAGGGCGAUGGCAAGAGCUAGCAGAAUCCAUGCAGCCACAUCAUUCACAGCUGCCGCUGACAUUGCCAUUCGGCCAAUAUCUGUAGUCAAAAGCUUUAGUUCAGCCAAAAUACGGGCUAAGACAGGGAAGGCAGUAAUGGAAAGAGCAACCCCCAUGAAGACAAGAAAUGGAGCUUCAUCUACACCCUUUGAGAUAGUUGCAUGGAGGGCAAACGAUGUUCCUAUUCCUAACGCAAAAGGAACGCUAAUCCCUGCAAGGGCUAUACAUAGAGCUUUCUUUCCAGUGCGGCGGAGUGAUUUUGGAUCCAACUCUAGGCCAACAAGAAACAGAAAGAAGAGGAGACCAAGAUUUGCCAAAGUAUCCAACACUGUGAGGCUUCUGGACGGAAAGAUUGCAUUCAAAUACUUUUCGUUUCUACCCAGAGCUGAUGGGCCAAGCAAUAUUCCUCCCUGCAAAGAAAGUGGGAAAAAAAAAUUGAAUAGUCAUUCUCCCCACUACUUAAGCGUCUCUGUCCAAAAGAGACUAUAUAUGGAAUCAAAAAAUUGCAGCACUGACUGUUCAAGAAAUUCAGAGUAUGCAUACGAAGAGAGGAACUUACAACAAUCUCGGCGAUGACACGAGGCUGUCGUAAAGGCCUAAGAAGAAAAGCAAGGAUGCGUGUGAGGGCAACCACAAGGCAUAUCUGAAGGAUUGCGAGAGGGAGUGCAUAAUCCAGAGGAUUAUCACCCUGGAACAACCCGUUAGACGUAGCCUUCAUGGGAGAAGGGCAAUGACUUGCAGUUGUGGCAUUCGUGGCCAUAUUGCACCAGUACAACCACCACUGCUAUCACAAAACGAAUUUGCUGAUUCUAAUUUCAAUACCUGCAUCCACAGAACGGAAAGCAAGUAAAUCACAAAGAAAAUAAUUACAAUCAUUAAGCGUUGCAGAUGUUUUACAGUAAAUAAUAGGACCAGCAAGAUCAAACUUGGGUUGAGCUUUUCAAGUCUGGUACUGGGAGAGGUGCUUUUUUCUUUUUUGAUAAAUGGUGGGACAUGAUACUUUUUCUCCAUCCAGAAAAAGUUUGUCUAGUCAAUUUUAUCUGGCUUGCUUUCCUAAUUCUAACUUUCCUCGUCAUACUCAAAAUCCAAUUAUGGUAUCCCAAUUUGCCAGCUUUGUUCCCUUAUUUUUGUCUCAGCAUCUAAUUUUUGGUAAUUCCUACUUAUGUCGAAUAUAUAUUUGUUUACAAAAUUAAAUUUUGAUUGAUAAUAAGGUCUUCUAAUUUUAAUUUAUGGUUUGUUUCCUAAUUCUAAUCUAGUACUAGCAGUAUAAUUCCUAAUUCUAGUAUUAUCCAAUUAUCAAUAAAAUCAGAAGUCCAAAAUAUAAUUUAUUUGAGCCUUAAGGCUUAAGUAUUCCAUCUUAAAGGUUUCAUAUAUUUAACAACUAAAAUAUAAUAUCAAGAAUGCCAGGUGUAAUAAAAAUUAUAAGAAAGUAUACAGUAAGACUUGGGAAAAAUAAAUAAAACGUGAAAAAUCCUUUAAAAUUCAGCCAUGAUCAGCUCUCCAUGGGACCAUAGAGCUUCCCGACAUAUGGGAACCAUAUGAUAAAUAAAUUAAAUAAUGAUAAAUCAUGUAAACCUAACAUGACAUAUAAUCUAAAAAUAAAAAUCUCCGCAUUAAUUCUCCCUUGCAUCCACAUAUUAAAAAAAGUAAAAAAUAAUACAAAAAAACAAAUCUUAUACAUGCCAACCUCUUAUUUGAAUAAAUCACAGAUAUUUCUUACCAACGUAUUGAUAUUACAGUAAUCCAAUUUAUAAUAAACCAUAAAUGGAAGAGAUUUACUAAAAUCAAGCAAAAAGGGUAUAGAAUAUUAAUUAACUCAAGCUUAGUCUUAAGAACUGUUACUAAAUAUUUUGGGAAUUAGGUUAAGGCUUAAAGCAAUUUUCCUUAUGAUAUGUAUCAAAAAAUAAGUUUAAAAAAGAAAUUGAAAGAAUUAUUAUUUAGGACAUGAGCAGGGGCACAAGUGUCCUUUCCACGUGGUUGAACGUUCUAACUAAACAGACUAGGAGCAGGAGGCUCUGCGCUUUCCGCGUUGCCUCGUCCAAGCAACGGUAGCAGCCUGCAUUUGCCAUGUGCUCCCAAAGACAGUAAUGCCCCCAAACUCGCCUCUAAUUUACAAUCUCAACCACUAAACGUAAUUUAACAACCAAACAAGAUCUUAAAUUAAUACGAAUCUCAUUUUCUCAAAACUAAGGAAAAGAAAAUGAGACGUUCUGUUUUCGUUAUGUUUUCUUAAUCACCGAACAGACUUGAGAAAAUGAGAAGAGCAGGAGAAGGAGAGAGAGAGAGAGAGAAAGAGUCACCUGAAUCUGCACCGAAUGAAUCUGGUGAGUUUAACUAAUCACAUUCGUUUUCUCUUCAUAUUUAUCAGAGAAUCUCUGUUUAUAAUCAGAAGAAAUGAAGAAGAAGAGAAUAGCGCAUUGGCGUGUGGCAGGCAGGUAGGCGAAAACCUUUCAUUUAUAGACCCCGCGUAAUGAUUCAGCUUCCGGUUUUGCCCCAGAUGACACCAACUUCCUAGUUCCCACUAUGGUUAUUGCAAUUUCUUUUUUCAUGACAAAACUACCCUUACUUAAUCAUAGCUUAAGAUAUAUUAAAAUGUGCUUUCUUUAGUGCCUUUUUGGGUAACGAAUUGUAAUAAAGAGAGAAUUUCCAUGCAACUGUAACGAGUUUGUAGUUUUGAAGGAAGUUAAUCCUAUCACGAUUUAUGAAUCUAGAACGUAAAUAGGCAACCUUCAUUGAACUCUUUAAUGCUACAAGGAGAUAAAAAAAAAUGAUGUUUUAAAAAGUUUUUAAAUUAUUUAAAAAUAUUGAAAUAAUUUUUUAUUCUCUUAUUGCAUUUAAUUAAGUUUAUAUAUUUUUAUUUUUGAUCAUAUAAAUAUUUAUGACUAUCCACGUGACGCUUAUGUGAUGUUAAUAUGUAAGAUAAAAAUACCACGUGACUAUGUCAUUUUGUCACAUUAUUAUAUUACAUCAUCUAUUAUAACAUGUUAGUAUGUCACGUUAUUCACUAUGAUAUGUUAACAUAUCACGUUAGUAUUACAUAGUAUAAAAUGAUUAGUAACAUUAGUUAACCGUUAAUUACAAGAAUCUAUUUGAUUUAAAAUAAAAAUAUAAAAAUAUUAUUGAAUAUAAUAGAAGAAUAUGUAAGUAUUUAUUUGAAUUUUUUUAAAUAUUAUUCACAAAAAAAAAAAGAAAACAAACAAACAAAAAAUAGUUGAUGGUUCUUGAACAUAGAUUAUAACAUAAUCUAAACUAAGGGAACAUAAAUAGUAAUUAGAAUGUGAUAAACAUGUUAACUUGUGGGAUUGAUGUUGUGCCUUGCUAACUUUCCAAUUAAUUUAAGUUAUAAAUUAUUCUCAUUUUUCUAUGCUCCAUCUUUGAAUUUUAUUGCUCCUAGGCUCCUAGCUAUAUCUAGAGUAUCAUAAAUAGUAAGUAUCAAAUAAGAAAUAUUUUAUUUGUACUCGAGCAUUUGACUCAUUGAUUGGUACAUUAUUUCCUUAUUUAAAAAAGCAAAGUUCGAAUCUUCCUUCUUCAAUUAUAUAAAAAAAUAAAAAAUAUUUUAUUUAUGUUAUAUGACUUCAAAAUGAUUGUUUCUCCGCAAGUAAAGCAUUUAUGUGGAAGGAAGAGAAUAAAUGUGUCGGAUUCCUCUAUGUGUAUAUCACUAGCAUUUUCGUGCAAACUAUUUCAGAUCAGAUGCCCUUCUUGUUUAUGCGCUUCUCGGCAAGGAAAUAUACGAUACAUAAAUCACAUCAUAUGUACUCUCAUGGAUUCCAAUUAUUCCUUUGGACAAGCUAAGGUUAAUUACAAAGACUUAUAUAUUGAAAUUAUUAAUUAACUAUGAAAGUGACAUACAUGUUGAAUUAUUGCAAUUUUUAUUAGUGCCAAGCAUGAACAAUUAACAAAUAUUAAAAAUUAGCUUUACGGCAAUUUGUAUUGACCUGUUUCAAAAAUCAUCGCCAUGCCAACACGUUAUCAGUACGAAAUCUAAACUUGAUCAGUAUCAUAAAUGGAUAUUCUUUGAAACUAAACUACUUGUAGAUAACUUGUGUCACGCAAGUUAUUGUCAAAUUGGGAACGAUUUCAACUCUAAAAGUUUGAAUGGGAACCUCUUGUGGUACUGGUUCUGUACUGCUUGCAUCAUGUGAUGAAUCUUUGUGUCAUUCACAGGUUUCCGGGCAACAUUUGCAUGACAUGGAAAAGGAGGGAGAAUUUUUUUAAUAAAAUACCAAUAUUGACUUGGUCCAAAAUUGAAUCUCCCGCUGACUUUUAAAACAAGUUUAAUUAAAAAAUGAAAUACCACCGUCUUCAAUGGGGUGGAAAAGGAUAUUUCACAUUCUUUAGUCGCAAACCUUAAACAUAUUACGUAAUGAUUUUUUUUAUAAUCAUUAAAAAGGAGAUUUGAAUUCUAUUUUCUCCCCUAACUUACCCUCAUCUGCAACAAUUCCUUAAUUAAUGCAUAAUAUAUAUUUAUAUAUAUAUAUAUAUAUAAAGAGGUUUGAAUUUAAAUGGUUGGUUAAAUAUUUCAGAUAAAGUUUUUCAUAAAAGUGCUAUUUUUUUCUUAAAUUCUUUCAAUAAAAAUAACUUUAUAUUAUUUUUUUUUUAAAUGAAUUUUAUACUAUCGAUAUGUCAAAGAAAAUCUCGAAUUAUAAUUGCCUAAGACUCUCAUUGGCAUUAAAAUCAGCUUGAUUAAAAAAAGAGAGAGAAGGAAAUACAUGGUUCAGCUGCACUAAAAAGUAUUGGCAACAUCAUCAGAAGAACAACAGCGUAAACAAAAAAACUCAUUGCUAGUCGAAACCAAAAGCUGGCAGCAAAAUCAGUUAUAUCAUUGAUUUGAUAGCCCAAAACUUACGUAGGAUCCAUGUCAAAGUAAUAAAAUUUUAAUACAUAGUUCGUUUUUGUUUGAGAACUUAAUGAAAAUUACGUUUAGUUUUUAUUAACAAACCUUAGAUGGAUCAGCAUUUGAUAGAGUCAACCCCCACCCCCCCAUACGGAUAAGUGAUUGGAAAAUAUUUGGCAAGCUCUGCAAUGAAGUCGCUGUACAAUUGCAGCCCUGUAAAGGUUACAAAAAAAAAAC